GACGAACGCUGGCGGCGUGCUUAACACAUGCAAGUCGAGCGGUAAGGCCCUUUCGGGGGUACACGAGCGGCGAACGGGUGAGUAACACGUGGGUGACCUGCCCUCAGCUCUGGGAUAAGCCUGGGGAAACUGGGUCGUAAUAACUGGAUAUGACUCCACGGUGCAUGUCGUGGGGUGGAAAGCCUUGUGCGGCUGAGGAUGGGCCCGCGGCCUAUCAGCUUGUUGGUGGGGUGA
Molecule: ribosomal RNA, 234 nt
Filed under: uncultured bacterium
Lineage: Bacteria
Description: partial 16S ribosomal RNA
Rfam family: Bacterial small subunit ribosomal RNA
Source: RNAcentral